This 473-nucleotide ribosomal RNA is filed under the name maize root bacterium ZmrIs16. RNAcentral describes it as "bacterial SSU rRNA". It matches the Rfam family "Bacterial small subunit ribosomal RNA", at positions 991 to 1462 of the family's 1533-position model. The record is from RNAcentral.
AGCGGCGUUCCAGAGAUGGUUCUUCCCCUUUGGGGUCGGUAUACAGGUGGUGCAUGGUUGUCGUCAGCUCGUGUCGUGAGAUGUUGGGUUAAGUCCCGCAACGAGCGCAACCCUCGUUCCAUGUUGCCAGCACGUGAUGGUGGGGACUCAUGGGAGACUGCCGGGGUCAACUCGGAGGAAGGUGGGGAUGACGUCAAAUCAUCAUGCCCCUUAUGUCUUGGGCUUCACGCAUGCUACAAUGGCCGGUACAAAGGGUUGCGAUACUGUGAGGUGGAGCUAAUCCCAAAAAGCCGGUCUCAGUUCGGAUUGAGGUCUGCAACUCGACCUCAUGAAGUCGGAGUCGCUAGUAAUCGCAGAUCAGCAACGCUGCGGUGAAUACGUUCCCGGGCCUUGUACACACCGCCCGUCAAGUCACGAAAGUCGGUAACACCCGAAGCCGGUGGCCCAACCCUUGUGGAGGGAGCCGUCGAAGG